AGUGAACGCUGGCGGCGUGCUUAACACAUGCAAGUCGAACGAGUAAGUGCUGUAGUAAUACAGAUUACUGCUAGUGGCAGACGGGUGAGUAAUACAUGGGAAUCUGCCUUGAAGUCUGGGAUAACUGUUGGAAACGACAGCUAAUACCGGAUAUUGCCGAGAGGUGAAAGAUUUAUCGCUUCAAGAUGAGCCCAUGCAAGAUUAGCUAGUUGGUGAGGUAAUGGCUCACCAAGGCGAAGAUCUUUAGCUGGUCUAAGAGGAUGAUCAGCCACACUGGAACUGAGACACGGUCCAGACUCCUACGGGGGGCAGCAGUGGGGAAUAUUGGACAAUGGGCGAAAGCCUGAUCCAGCGACGCCGCGUGAGUGAAGAAGGCCUUCGGGUUGUAAAGCUCUUUUAGUAGGGAAGAUGAUGACGGUACCUACAGAAAAAGCUCCGGCUAACUUCGUGCCAGCCGCCGCCGUAA
This 466-nucleotide ribosomal RNA is filed under the name uncultured bacterium. RNAcentral's name for it is "partial 16S ribosomal RNA". It matches the Rfam family "Bacterial small subunit ribosomal RNA", at positions 29 to 523 of the family's 1533-position model. The record is from RNAcentral.